RNAcentral lists this ribosomal RNA (544 nucleotides) under uncultured Glomeromycotina. RNAcentral describes it as "SSU rRNA". It matches the Rfam family "Eukaryotic small subunit ribosomal RNA", at positions 548 to 1098 of the family's 1831-position model. Lineage: Eukaryota; Fungi; Glomeromycota. The record is from RNAcentral.
UUGGAGGGCAAGUCUGGUGCCAGCAGCCGCGGUAAUUCCAGCUCCAAUAGCGUAUAUUAAAGUUGUUGCAGUUAAAAAGCUCGUAGUUGAAUUUCGGGGUUCUACCGUUGGUCGGGCUUUGUCUGUACUGGUGUGUAGAAUUUCUACCUUCUGGGGAACCAUCAUGCUAUUAAUUUAGCGUGGUGGGAAACCAGGACCUUUACCUUGAAAAAAUUAGUGUGUUCAAAGCAGGCUUAUGUCUGAAUACAUUAGCGUGGAAUAAUAGAAUAGGACGGUGGUCCUGUUUUGUUGGUUUCUGAAUCACCGUAAUGAUUAAUAGGGAUAGUUGGGGGCAUUAGUAUUCAAUUGUCAGAGGUGAAAUUCUUGGAUUUAUUGAAGACUAACUUCUGCGAAAGCAUUUGCCAAGGAUGUUUUCAUUAAUCAAGAACGAGAGUUAGGGGAUCGAAGACGAUCAGAUACCGUCGUAGUCUUAACCAUAAACUAUGCCGACUAGGGAUCGGACGAUGUUAAUUUUUCUUGACUCGUUCGGCGCCUUACGGGAAAC